UUUCCGGCGCGCCGGCCACGGUACAUCCGGGUUCUGGGGUAGCAGAGGCGGUCUUCUCGCGCGGAUUGUGAAGCUGAAUUUGGUACGCUGGACCCUCGGAGAGACAGCAAGAGAGAGACAAGCCUGAGGCCUGACUUCUAGCACUCCUGAGUUUGAGCCCUAUGAGCAGUGGAACUAGGGUAAGUUACUAACUUCUCUGAACCUCCUUUUUCUUAUCUGAAGCGUGAAAACUAACGGUGCCUACCUCGCAGAAGUGUCUUGAUGCAGACAGUUGAUAAUCGGUCUCAAGCGACCAGCAUGUACCUAGCGUCUACUGAUAAGGGCUUCAUAACUUGUGACUACUCAGGGCUUAUUACCACUUAACUAUGCCCACGCAGGCAGUGGUAUUAUUUAACUUUAUGUAUUUGAGAUUCACCACCUUUUCUGAAAACCCUUCUGUCCUAAACACUCCUGGAAGAGGUUGGGACCUGUUGCACCCAACCGGUGCACCAGUGAGUAGAAGAAGGCAGAGAUAACGUUUUUCCAGAGGUGACCAGAGUUUGACACUGCCUGUGGAAGUAGUGAACUCCGUGUGCCUUAAGGCCGCUUUC
This 590-nucleotide small RNA is filed under the name Pongo abelii (Sumatran orangutan). RNAcentral's name for it is "retained intron". The record is from RNAcentral. Lineage: Eukaryota; Metazoa; Chordata; Mammalia; Primates; Hominidae.